Molecule: ribosomal RNA, 456 nt
Filed under: uncultured fungus
Lineage: Eukaryota; Fungi
Description: eukaryotic LSU rRNA
Rfam family: 5.8S ribosomal RNA (bases 68-221)
Source: RNAcentral
UUUUUCAUAUACCCCUAUAGAAUGUAACAGAAUGUAUCAUUGGGCCUUGUGCCUAUAAACCUUAUACAACUUUCAGCAACGGAUCUCUUGGCUCUCGCAUCGAUGAAGAACGCAGCGAAAUGCGAUAAGUAAUGUGAAUUGCAGAAUUCAGUGAAUCAUCGAAUCUUUGAACGCACCUUGCGCUCCUUGGUAUUCCGAGGAGCAUGCCUGUUUGAGUGUCAUUAAAUUCUCAACCUUAUUAACUUUUGUUGAUAAUGGAUUGGAUUGUGGGGGUUUCUUUUGCUGGCUUCUUCACAGAGAUCAGCUCCCCUUAAAUGCAUUAGCUGGUGCCCCGCGUGGACCAUCUAUUGGUGUGAUAAUUAUCUACGCCGUGGAUGUCUGCAAUCAUAUGGGUUUCGCACUGCUUCUAACCGUCUGUUCAUUCGGACAAUACAUGACAAUUGACCUCAAAUCAGG